AAAGGGGCUUCCGGUCUGCGGGAGACUGGAGGCUAGCGGUGGGCGUGGACCGUCGAGGUGACUGGCGGCUGUCGGAUCAGCUGUUGUUUGCUGACCAGGCAGCCGUGGGUAAUGACGGAUGCCCAGACCCUGUGGGCGGAGUAAAGGAAUCAUGCACUGAUACACGCACACUCACCGAGAGGCGCGGUCGUCUGCGUGCCCCUCAUCUCGUAGCCGAGAGGAGCGCGCUCCGGGGCAGGCCUCCGAGUACUUCCCGCAGAGGACCGGGCUUUAUACUGCUCCUUUUCCUCCCCUAACGGAGUCUCGCCCCAUCACCCAGACUGGAGUGCCCUGGCAUGAUCUCGGCUCACUGCAACCUCUGCCUCCCGGGUUCAAGUGAUUCUUCUGCCUUAGCCUCCCCAGUAGCUGGGACUACAGGAUCCUGAGCAGCCAUAUAAGACAUUCAACCAGCCUGAGACCACCAUACAUUGAUCACAGUCUCAAAUGAACCCAACAUUUCACCUGUGCCCGCCAGGCAGCAGACAUGCAGCUGAAGCUGUCUUGGAGCCUCUAGACCAGCCCAUCCACCUGCUGAAUACCAGUGAGUGACCUAUGUCAAAGCUACCAGAAGUGGAAUUGCCAGCUGAGUCUUGCCUAAAUUUCUGAGCCACACAAUCGUGAGAUACUAUAAAGUGGUAAGUUUUAUAGCAGUGUGUUACCCAGCAGUAUGGACCUGGAACAGACUACAGCACUAGUCCUGGUUUCCCUCUCCCAGUCAAUACAAAGACAGGGAUGACCUGUGCUCUGAGAAUAGCUCCUAAGCAUGUGUUUUGUGUCAUGGUGAUUGUCAAGCCCGCAGACUCUAGAGUCAUACAGACCCAGGGUCAAUGCUUAACUUCUCUACUUCAUGGCUUUGUAAAAUAGGGAUUUUUACAGGUUCAAUUCAUAGAAAUGUUGAGAAAGAUUGAGUGAGAUGCAUUUAUGUAAAGCACUUAUGCAGUGCCUGCCACAAUAAAUGCUUGCAAAACAUUAGCUUUCAUUUAAA
This is a long non-coding RNA of Macaca mulatta (Rhesus monkey), 1024 nucleotides long. RefSeq lists it as uncharacterized. The record is from RefSeq and is a predicted model, not a curated record. NCBI's taxonomy places the organism in Eukaryota, Metazoa, Chordata, Mammalia, Primates, Cercopithecidae.